RNAcentral lists this ribosomal RNA (460 nucleotides) under uncultured bacterium. RNAcentral describes it as "bacterial SSU rRNA". It matches the Rfam family "Bacterial small subunit ribosomal RNA", at positions 29 to 506 of the family's 1533-position model. The record is from RNAcentral.
ACGAACGCUGGCGGCGUGCUUAACACAUGCAGGUCGAGCGGUAAGGCCUUUCGGGGUACACGAGCGGCGAACGGGUGAGUAACACGUGGGUGAUCUGCCCUGCACUCUGGGAUAAGCCUGGGAAACUGGGUCUAAUACCGGAUAUGACCGCAUGAUGCAUGUUGUGUGGUGGAAAGCUUUUGUGGUGCAGGAUGGGCCCGCGGCCUAUCAGCUUGUUGGUGGGGUAAUGGCCUACCAAGGCGACGACGGGUAGCCGACAUGGGAGGGUGACCGGCCACACUGGGACUGAGACACGGCCCAGACUGCUACGGGAGGCAGCAGUGGGGAAUAUUGCACAAUGGGCGGAAGCCUGAUGCAGCGACGCCGCGUGAGGGAUGAAGGCCUUCGGGUUGUAAACCUCUUUCAGCAGGGACGAAGCGUGAGUGACGGUACCUGCAGAAGAAGCACCGGCUAACUACGU